CGGGACCCCCAGCAGGAGCCGGGUCGGGCUUCCGCCACACUCAAGAUGGCGGCCGUAACAGGCCCCCCCCCGACAGAGGUGUCCUCGCUACUGCCUGCCGUCACACGCGUGGCCGCUGCCCGGCUCCGGCGCCACUGACCCCGCCGCACGCAUCCUCGCGCGGGGAAAGGCGGCGGAAAAUCGUGCGGAGAGCGCGGAGUCGGUCAGUGUCGGCCGGUUUUUCGUUCAGGCAAUGACUUAGACAGACACCACUGUGAGGGGCGGGGGCCUUAAAGGUGCCACAACAAACAUGGCGGCUAUACCGGAAGUGGCUUCAGCCGCAACAAAGAUGGCGGCGGGAAAGGCGGAAGUCACGCGACACCACACUCAAGAUGGCCUCCCGGUCACUAGUCUCUUGACCUUCUAAGUAUGGCGGCGGAAAAGGGCGGGAAAAAGUAAGGACCCUGCAGUGCGUCUACCCGACUGCCUGCGCACGCCGCCGACACCGAUGCCGCUCCGGAGCGAUUUUCCGCGGCAUUUCCAGGCGUUCCGACACGGGCUGUGUGCUCAGCGGCGCCGGGACCGGGUGCGAGCCUGGCGGGAGAGCUCGUGGGCGCCAGCAGGCAGUGGCGAAGACGCCUCUCUUUUCUGGGGUCCUGUCGCGGCCGCCAUCUUGGGUGUGGCGGAAGCCCGACCCGUCCUGUCCCGUCCCCUGCCGCCGCUUCUCGCGCUUUGCCGUCUCCCCCCGGCCCGGGGAAAUGGAGGAAAACAAAAUUACAUCGGGCCCGAACAGUCGGCCGAGCUGCCUGAGCCUUUCUCCUGUCCGCAGCGAGGUGGCUGCCCGGAGCCGGGAGUGCCCGGCAGGAGGAGGCAGCUGCUGUGUUCGCCGGGAAGACUGUGGAGCGUUGGGAAGAAUAUUCGGCAUAGAGAAGUGAAAGACACGAGGAAAUGCUUUAGGCACCACGUGCAGCUUCUGAACAGCAUCCAUAAUCCCGACUCCCACAAAAACCUCCUGAAAAUGGAAGGGACGGGGAAGAAAAUUCCAGGAGUGGUGUGGGAGGCGCUUUCACCCAGGUCUGGACAGCGUUGA
RNAcentral lists this long non-coding RNA (1069 nucleotides) under Parus major (Great Tit). Its description in RNAcentral is "lncRNA (ENSPMJG00000013868.1)". Lineage: Eukaryota; Metazoa; Chordata; Aves; Passeriformes; Paridae. The record is from RNAcentral.